This 273-nucleotide ribosomal RNA is filed under the name Ixodes persulcatus (taiga tick). RNAcentral's name for it is "partial large subunit ribosomal RNA". The record is from RNAcentral. Lineage: Eukaryota; Metazoa; Arthropoda; Arachnida; Ixodida; Ixodidae.
UAUACAAAGGUAUUGAAAUAAGAUUUUAAAUGAGUGCUAMGAGARUGAUUGAACAAUUAUAGGCUUUCUUUAGUUAAAUAAUUAAAUUUAAUUUUUUUAGUGCAAAAGCAAAAAUUAAAUUUAGGGACAAGAAGACCCUAUGAAUUUUAAUUUAAUUUAUAAUUUGAAAUUUUAAAUUAAAUUUGAUUGGGGCGAUGGAAAAAGAAUGAGUAUCUUUUUUAGUUYUAAAAAUUGGYUCCGUYUWWAACGAUUAAAUGAGAAAAAUACUCUAGG